Molecule: long non-coding RNA, 1776 nt
Organism: Mytilus californianus (California mussel)
Lineage: Eukaryota; Metazoa; Mollusca; Bivalvia; Mytilida; Mytilidae
Exons: 2
Source: RefSeq, a predicted model, not a curated record
ACAUGGCUACAUGAGUCACUAAAAGAUCAAGGGAAAAGCAGUUUCAUGUUAAUGGAUGUUUUAGUUUUGCUUUUCUGCAAAAUGGUGUGGCAUCAGAAAUUCAUUUGUUCCAUUUUCCAAAAGCUGUUCUUUCUGACAAGCAUAAAAGAGACCGGUGGUGUAGUCUUAUCAAGAGGCAUGAUGGACGAGAUGGUUUUUCAUUAAAUAGUAACACUGUUAUUUGUGAAAAUCACUUCAGAAGUGAAGAUAUCACUAUCUCACUUGCAAGAAAGAGAUGGUCUUUGAAGCCUGAUGUGGAGCCAACAGUGUUUGAUUGGGCUAAUUUAAAGUUUAAGAGAAAAUCUCCAAGAAAAAGAUUACCCUAUGAAGUGAUGACACCAACUAGUACAGAUUCUGGAUAUGAUCAUGAAGUACAAUCUGAAACCCUUUACUGAUGUGAGCCAAUCCAAGACAAUGAGCUUGAUUCAAUGAAUGUUGAUGAAAACUUGAAAACAAAAGCCACACAGACAGAAUGGUUGGAUGAUCAAAAUGAUUUUAUAGCCCCUCAUGCUAAACACAACUAUAGCUUCACAAUGAAAAUGUUGGAGAAAAAUUUGACUAAUCUAGACAUUCAAGAAACAAUUGAACUAUUUAAAACAAAAAUUGAGUCUCUUAAUGAAAAAUUGCAUCUAAAAAUAUUUUUGAUUUGCAAGAGCAACUGGAAUACUUUGAGAAAAAAAAGAUUCAGUUUGGACAAACUAAAACAUGACAAUGAUGCAAUUGCAUUCUAUACUGGUUUUCCAAACUAUGGAACAUUUAUGGCCUGUUUUGAAUAUCUGGAAUCUAAGGCAUCAAGUAUUGGAGAGGAUAAAAUGACACAAUUGAUGAUUAUAAACAUUAUCAAACAAAGGUGGGCGACUUGGUCCAAGAAGAAAACUGACUCUACGAGAUGAAUUUUUUAUGACGCUCAUUCGUCUUAAAGUAGGAUUAUUUGUUAGAGACCUUGCUGAACGAUUUGAAAUUUCACAAAGUCAUUUUUCCAAAAUUUUCAUAACUUGGAUAAAUUUUUUGAACGUUGAAUUGCCCUUGAUAUUCCCAUUCCCUAGUCAAGAAAAGUGUUAAAUACAAUGCCAAAAUCAUUAAACUUGUACCCUACUACUAGGAUUAUCAUAGACUGUACGGAAGUGUUUGUGGAAAUUCCUUCUUCAAUGCUUGCACAAUCACAGACAUGGUCUACCUAUAAACACCAUAAUACUUAUAAAGUUUUAGUGGGCGUUAGUCCAACUGGUAAUGUUACCUUUGUUUCUGAAUUUUGGGGUGGAAGAGUUUCCGACAAAGAAAUCACUAAACAUAGUGGCUUACUUGAUUUACUUCAGCCAGGAGACAAUGUUAUGGCAGACAGAGGAUUUGAGAUUACUGACAUUCUGCCUGAAGGUGUUACUUUAAACAUUCCACCAUUUAAAGGGACUAACAAACAAUUAUCUGCUCAAAAUGUUGAAGAUACAAUUAGCAUAACUUCUGUGCGAAUCCAUGUAGAGAGGGCGAUUGGCCGAAUUAAGUUUAAGCAAUGUUGCAAGUCAGAUUUUUAGAGUUGUGUCAUUUUUAACAGGGUUUUACCGCCACUUGUUCCGCCAAAAUCUGACAGUGAUAUUGAUGAUGGAUGUAUAUGUAUGUCUGGUUCAUUUAAAGGAUUGCUUGUUCCCCCUUAAGACAUGUAUCCUGUACUUAGAUUUUUCAUUCAUCAUGUACAUGUACAUGUACUUGUACCAAAUAUAAAUAUAAAGACCUUGUAUACAA